This is a long non-coding RNA of Cynoglossus semilaevis (tongue sole), 955 nucleotides long. RefSeq lists it as uncharacterized. The record is from RefSeq and is a predicted model, not a curated record. The transcript is spliced from 2 exons. NCBI's taxonomy places the organism in Eukaryota, Metazoa, Chordata, Actinopteri, Pleuronectiformes, Cynoglossidae.
AAUGACCCAUAUUUGUAGCCAUGUUGUGAUUUUAUUGGAGUGAGUGCAAACAUUCCAAGCACGCUGUGACAGGCUGGGGAACACUGGUUCUAACUUGAGGGAAUACAACAUGAAUACAUUAAGUGAAAAACAAAACAAAAGCACAGUACAUUAAAACCAAAGUUACAUCUGCAGGAUAAAAAAAAUACUAGACUUGAUUCUCAACCACAGGCUUCAGUGAAAUCUCACUGAUUCACAUCAUGUAUGAGGUAAAAAAAAUAAAUAGAGACUAGACAUAUCCAGCAUUAAAUGCCCUCCAUGCUUGGUAAUAAGACAGUAACAUGGUAAUAAUGGUAACAAGUAUAAUGAAAAUAUCAUCAUACAAAUUAAAUUACAUGAAAUGUUAAUCGUUUGGGUGACAAUGAACAUUACGUAAACAUUUAGAGUGUUUAGAAUAUCCAUGAAAUUACACUUAGUUGAACGCCCACCAAAAACUUCCAUUUCCCAAAGAUAAAAAAAGUUGGCGCGACAAGACAGUCAUUUAACAUCAGCUGAGGAGACACAGUGAGCACCAUAUAUUCAACAAUAGAUGAUUGAAAUACAACUGCUAGAAAGGAAAAGAGAACAUCAGGGAAGGAUUAGGAAAAUGUAAGGAAAGGUUGGGUGAUAGCAGAGGAUGUUGAUAGUCGGAUAAUAUUUAGCAAAAUCAAUUCACUAGUUUAAAGGUGAAGUUUCAUUUUGUGAAAAAUCCACAUGACCUACAAAAUGAAACCUUUUUUUUUCUCUACCAAUUUGAGAGAUCAUUUUAAGCAUGGAGUCAAUUCAAGUCUAACUGAAAUGUUACUAAUCAUAAUACUGCACACUAUUGAGGAUUAGAAACCUAACGAGCUCUGAGGCUCUGGAGUAAAAAUGAACAACGCGUUAUUUAGAGCGACCAAAAAUAGCUUUUAAGACAACUUUUAAAAAAGUUUUUUUU